RNAcentral lists this ribosomal RNA (253 nucleotides) under bacterium. RNAcentral's name for it is "partial 16S ribosomal RNA". It matches the Rfam family "Bacterial small subunit ribosomal RNA", at positions 524 to 776 of the family's 1533-position model. RNAcentral also lists the same sequence under 1 other name. The record is from RNAcentral.
UACGUAGGGGGCGAGCGUUGUCCGGAAUCAUUGGGCGUAAAGCGCGUGUAGGCGGCUCAGUCAGUCUGGUGUGAAACCUUGGGGCUCAACCCCAAGCCUGCACUGGAUACUGCUGAGCUUGAGUCCGGGAGGGGAGAGCGGAAUUCCUAGUGUAGCGGUGAAAUGCGCAGAUAUUAGGAAGAACACCGGUGGCGAAGGCGGCUCUCUGGAACGGUACUGACGCUGAGACGCGAAAGCGUGGGGAGCGAACAGG